UACGUAGGGUGCAAGCGUUGUCCGGAAUUAUUGGGCGUAAAGAGCUCGUAGGCGGUCUGUCGCGUCUGCUGUGAAAACUCAGGGCUUAACCCUGAGCUUGCAGUGGGUACGGGCAGACUAGAGUGCGGUAGGGAGACUGGAAUUCCUGGUGUAGCGGUGAAAUGCGCAGAUAUCAGGAGGAACACCGGUGGCGAAGGCGGUGAUCUGGGCCGGCACUGACGCUGAGGAGCGAAAGCGUGGGGAGCAAACAGG
RNAcentral lists this ribosomal RNA (252 nucleotides) under uncultured bacterium. RNAcentral's name for it is "partial 16S ribosomal RNA". It matches the Rfam family "Bacterial small subunit ribosomal RNA", at positions 524 to 776 of the family's 1533-position model. The record is from RNAcentral.